CAUGGUGGAGGUGGGGUUAUGGUAUGGGCCCCAUGGUGGCGGUGGGGUUAUGGUAUGGGCCCCAUGGUGGAGGUGGGGUUAUGGUAUGGGCCCCAUGGUGGAGGUGGGGUUUAUGGUAUGGGCCCCAUGGUGGAGGUGGGGUUAUGGUAUGGGCCCCAUGGUGGAGGUGGGGUUAUGGUAUGGGCCCCAUGGUGGCAGUGGGGUUAGGGUGUGGUAUGGGCCCCAUGGUGGAGGUGGGGUUUAUGGUAUGGGCCCCAUGGUGGAGGUGGGGUUAUGGUAUGGGCCCCAUGGUGGAGGUGGGGUUAU
RNAcentral lists this long non-coding RNA (306 nucleotides) under Salmo salar (Atlantic salmon). Its description in RNAcentral is "lncRNA (ENSSSAG00000107281.1)". The record is from RNAcentral. Lineage: Eukaryota; Metazoa; Chordata; Actinopteri; Salmoniformes; Salmonidae.